RNAcentral lists this unclassified non-coding RNA (271 nucleotides) under Peniophora albobadia. RNAcentral describes it as "partial internal transcribed spacer region". The stretch from base 1 to 46 matches the Rfam family "Eukaryotic small subunit ribosomal RNA", at positions 1786 to 1831 of the family's 1831-position model. Lineage: Eukaryota; Fungi; Basidiomycota; Agaricomycetes; Russulales; Peniophoraceae. The record is from RNAcentral.
AAGUCGUAACAAGGUUUCCGUAGGUGAACCUGCGGAAGGAUCAUUAGCGAAGUUCGGAAUGCAUGUUCGGUGUUGAUGCUGCCCAGCAAUGGGAUGUGCUCACUCGGAUGUGUGUCCCUUCUCUAUCCACCCCACUGUGAACCAAGUGUGUGAGCCGAAGAGCAAUCGGACGCUCGCAUGCAAACCUUUAACAUACCCCAAUUAAGUAUCAGAAUGUACCUUGCGUUAACUCGCACAAAUAUAACUUUCAACAACGGAUCUCUUGGCUCUC